RNAcentral lists this unclassified non-coding RNA (368 nucleotides) under soil metagenome. RNAcentral's name for it is "partial contains 5.8S ribosomal RNA, internal transcribed spacer 2, and large subunit ribosomal RNA". The stretch from base 1 to 120 matches the Rfam family "5.8S ribosomal RNA", at positions 35 to 154 of the family's 154-position model. The record is from RNAcentral.
GAUGAAGAACGUAGCGAAAUGCGAUAAGUAAUGUGAAUUGCGGAAUUCAGUGAACCAUCGAAUCUUUGAACGCACAUUGCGCCCGGCAGUAAUCUGCCGGGCAUGCCUGUCCGAGCGUCAUUUCUGCCCUCGAGCGAGUCCAGCAUCUAGGUGCUGGGCCCGCCCGGCGUUGGGGCACUACGGGAAGCCCUGUGCUGUCCCCCGUAGGCCCCGAAAUGAAGUGGCGGUCCUGCCGCGGCGCCCCCUGCGUAGUAUAACAGCUCGCUUCGGGACCCGGUGGAGGCCUGCCGUCAAACCUUACUCUCUAAGUUUGACCUCGGAUCAGGUAGGGUUACCCGCUGAACUUAAGCAUAUCAAUAAGCGGAGGA